This 788-nucleotide ribosomal RNA is filed under the name uncultured bacterium. RNAcentral describes it as "bacterial SSU rRNA". It matches the Rfam family "Bacterial small subunit ribosomal RNA", at positions 8 to 796 of the family's 1533-position model. The record is from RNAcentral.
AGAGUUUGAUCCUGGCUCAGGACGAACGCUGGCGGCGUGCUUAACACAUGCAAGUGGAGCGACGAACCAGGGCUUGCCCUGGGGCAGAGCCGCGAACGGGUGAGUAACACGUGGGUCACCUGCCUCGAUGACCGGGACAACCCGAGGAAACUCGGGCUAAUACCGGAUGUGCCCGCAAGGGGAAAGGAAGCUUCGGCCUCCGCAUCGAGAUGGGCCCGCGGCCCAUUAGCUUGUUGGUGAGGUAACGGCUCACCAAGGCUUCGAUGGGUAGCUGGUCUGAGAGGACGAUCAGCCACACUGGGACUGAGACACGGCCCAGACUCCUACGGGAGGCAGCAGUGGGGAAUCUUGCGCAAUGCGCGAAAGCGUGACGCAGCAACGCCGCGUGGGGGAAGAAGGCUUUCGGGUUGUAAACCCCUUUCAGUUGGGACGAAGCCUCGGCGGUGAAUAGCCGUCUGAGGUGACGGUACCUUCACAAGAAGCACCGGCUAACUACGUGCCAGCAGCCGCGGUAAUACGUAGGGUGCAAGCGUUGUCCGGAAUUAUUGGGCGUAAAGAGCGUGUAGGCGGCCCCGUUAGUCCGCUGUGAAAGUCCAGGGCUCAACCCUGGAAUGCCGGUGGAUACUGCGGGGCUAGAGUCCGGAAGGGGCGAGUGGAAUUCCUGGUGUAGCGGUGAAAUGCGCAGAUAUCAGGAGGAACACCAAUGGCGAAGGCAGCUCGCUGGGACGGUACUGACGCUGAGACGCGAAAGCGUGGGGAGCAAACAGGAUUAGAUACCCCCGUAGUCC